GGGUUCGUAGUUUGAAUUGAGGGGGUGUCAAGUUGUUCGAUCAAGUCCCGCCCACACGGGUUCGGCCAUCGCGCUUGCCCUCCGUGAACAUUUUCGGAAACAAACAUCGCGGAAUCGUUUCCUCCCACUCACGCAUGCAACGUAUGCAGGGGGGCGUCCGUGUGUCUUACUGUGACUAAAAAGCGCGACCAAAGCAGUCGAUCGACCUGAAUUUGAAAGCAUGGGAUAACAAAGGAGCGCCUAUAGGCUACCGUUUCGGCUUUUGUUGGUUUUAAAGGUCUGUGGGAGAUUAUGGUGCGCAUGACAAGCGGUUCGGGGUUCCGUCCCCACGCCUCCGGCGUGCAGUGCCUUCGGGUUCUGUCGCCGGCUUGUGUCGUCCGGAAUGAAGGAGGGUUGUUCGGGGGAGAACGUACUUGGUGUGAGAGGUGAAAUUCUUAGACCACUCAAAGACGAACUACAGCGAAGGCAUUCUCCGGGAUACCUUCCUCAAUCAAGAACCAAAGUGUGGAGAUCGAAGAUGAUUAGAGACCAUUGUGUCC
Molecule: ribosomal RNA, 539 nt
Filed under: uncultured kinetoplastid
Lineage: Eukaryota; Euglenozoa; Kinetoplastea
Description: bacterial SSU rRNA
Rfam family: Eukaryotic small subunit ribosomal RNA
Source: RNAcentral